This is a long non-coding RNA of Trachemys scripta elegans, 143 nucleotides long. RefSeq lists it as uncharacterized. The record is from RefSeq and is a predicted model, not a curated record. The transcript has 3 exons. Lineage: Eukaryota; Metazoa; Chordata; Testudines; Emydidae.
AUCUAAACCUGCUAUUGGGAAUUACAAUCCCUGCCGUCGUGGUUCUGGCUGUGGUGCUUUAUCUGCUGGGAAAGAAAGUUGCGUCUCUACCAAGGGAACAAAGGGAACAAGUCCAGCAUGACACCAGCAACACUCCUGAAGAU